AAAGAUAGUUGGUUAGCAGCACUACAGCACUAAGCUCCUUACUUGUCAUAUUUCAUUCAUUCAUUCAUUCAUUUUCCAUGCCGCUUUUUCCUCACGAGGGUCGCGGAGGUGCUGGAGCCUAUCCCAGCUAACUCGGGGCAGUAGGCAGGGGACACCCUGAACUGGUUGCCAGCCAAUUGCAGGGCACAAGGAGACAUACAACCAUUCACGCACACACUCAUACCUACGGACAAUUUAGAGUGUUCAAUCAACCUACCAAGCAUGUUUUUGGGAUGUGGGAGGAAACCGGAGUUCCCGGAGGAAACCCACGCAGGCACGGGGAGAACAUGCAAACUCCACACAGGAAGGCCGAAGCCCGGGAUUGAACCCUUGAUCUUAGAACUGUGAGGCAGACGUGCUAACCACUCAGCCACCGUGCCGCCUUGUCAUAUUUAACAUAUUUUAUUUUUUUUCUAUAUAUUGAUUUGACACUUGAUUUUGUUGUAGGAGAGACUAACUCAGAUGCAAGUUCAAAUGGGCCUUCUGGUGCUUAAACUUAUUCAGGAGGUUGAUGCAAGGUGGAACAGCACUUAUCUCAUGCUUCAGUAAUUAUUGCUGACUGUUGGAAGUAUUAGAGCCGUUUAACUAUGCUACAAUUGAGCUGUCUGAGGAGAAGGUUUCCUGGUCAAAGGUAAUUCCGCUCUUGUCCAUGUUGCAUCACUCUCUGGAAGAAGAGGAGAUACGACUGCUUCAAACUCCAGAGAGCACAUCCUUGGUUGAGUUUCUGCAAAGAUAACUAAGAGAGAAGCUGAACAACCUCCAGUCUAUGAGCAUUAUAUUUCUGGCUACUCUGCUUAACCCAAGGUUUAAAAAAAACUAGGCUUCUUUAGACCCAAUACAGCAGCGGAGGCUGAAAAAAGGCUCACGAUGGAAUGCGCAGCUAUUAUGAGGCGCACAGCGUCCUCAUCUACUUCAUCAUCAUCAACGUCAUCAUCAUCAGAAACUUCCCACUCUGUUGGAGGAAGCAAACUGUGGCAUCAUUUUGAUACCUCGAUCCAUCAAGCAAGAACCACAAAUGUCACGGCUAAUGCAAAAGUUGAGGUGCAAGAAGUAUCUUGGAGCACCAAACAUCCCCAGAGUUGAAAGUCCCCUUCAGUACUGGGAAUCACAGAAAUAUACGCUUCCAAUUCUAUACAAACUUGCUAUCUCAUAUCCUUGCACCCCUGCUUCAUCAGUACCAUGUGAAAUAAUUUUUUUCUAAAGCAGGUGAAAUUCUCAGCAAAAA
Corythoichthys intestinalis (scribbled pipefish) is the source of this 1264-nucleotide long non-coding RNA. RefSeq lists it as uncharacterized. The transcript is spliced from 3 exons. Lineage: Eukaryota; Metazoa; Chordata; Actinopteri; Syngnathiformes; Syngnathidae. The record is from RefSeq and is a predicted model, not a curated record.